RNAcentral lists this ribosomal RNA (322 nucleotides) under uncultured Prevotella sp. RNAcentral describes it as "partial 16S ribosomal RNA". Lineage: Bacteria; Pseudomonadati; Bacteroidota; Bacteroidia; Bacteroidales; Prevotellaceae. The record is from RNAcentral.
GGAGUCUGGGCCGUAUCUCAGUCCCAAUGUGGCCGUUCAACCUCUCAGAACCCCUACUGAUCGUCGCCUUGGUGGGCCGUUACCCCGCCAACAAGCUAAUCAGACGCAUCCCCAUCCCUCAGCGAUAAAUCUUUAUUCCUAAUCAGAUGCCUUCAAAGGAAACUAUAAGGUAUUAAUCCAUCUUUCGAUGGGCUAUCCCUUACUCAGGGGCAGGUUGGAUACGCGUUACUCACCCAUUCGCCGGUCGACGCCUAAAGAAAGCAAGCUUUCAAUAUCGUUUCCCCUCGACUUGCAUGUGUUAAGCCUGUAGCUAGCGUUCAUC